AUGAUAACACAUUAUUAAUAUUUUGGAGGAGAUAAUGCUGCAGAGCUGACCUGAGGAAGGCAUAUGCAAAAGUCAAAAGUUAACAACGAAAAGAAGAGCCACAGGGAGCCAGUUUACCGCUCUGUCUAAGAACAAACCGAAGCCUUCUCCAGGCUCUGACGCUCCUUUUAUGCCAGUCAUCUAAUCAGUCUGAUGUGCUGCACCUGUGGGUAACAAGCCUGACAGGAAGCCUGCAGGAGAGAAGCACGUGAGAGCUGCACACUGAAGCACACAAUCUGCAAACAGCCUGGCAGAUAUGACAGCAUAUUUCUAAAACACAUUUUCCACUUAGAGCAAAUUCCAACAGGACCUGGAGCAGCACACCCUAAAAGUCAGUUCACAUUGCAGCAGAAGAACGAACGUGUCCGUGGCUCCUUACUUCAAUUAUUCCCCUUUUCAGGAGGAAACUGGAGGAAGGAAUCCAGAGGGACCGUCAGAGAUGCAGGAGGUGACGAGGAAUUGGAACCAGGAAGAGGUGAUCGACCAGGAACCGACUGACACAAGGUGCUAAUUUUGAAGAGAGAAGAGUCAAACCUGGUAAAAAUCUGGGAGGGAGACCAGCUACGUGUCCCUACAGACGACAGAGGAGGCUGUGACGCAGGAGAAUGCUUUCUCUGAGGUACGAAGUAGCUAGUUACAUUUACAGUAACU
Molecule: long non-coding RNA, 690 nt
Organism: Poecilia latipinna (sailfin molly)
Lineage: Eukaryota; Metazoa; Chordata; Actinopteri; Cyprinodontiformes; Poeciliidae
Exons: 4
Source: RefSeq, a predicted model, not a curated record